GGACUGUAGGCUGCAACUCGCCUACACGAAGUCGGAAUCGCUAGUAAUCGCGGAUCAGCAUGCCGCGGUGAAUACGUUCCCGGGCCUUGUACACACCGCCCGUCACACCAUGAGAGCCGGGAACACCCGAAGUCCGUAGUCUAACCAUUAAGGAGGACGCGGCCGAAGGUGGGUUUGGUAAUUGGGGUGAAGUCGUAACAAGGUAGC
RNAcentral lists this ribosomal RNA (207 nucleotides) under uncultured bacterium. Its description in RNAcentral is "partial 16S ribosomal RNA". It matches the Rfam family "Bacterial small subunit ribosomal RNA", at positions 1295 to 1500 of the family's 1533-position model. The record is from RNAcentral.